UACGUAGGGCGCAAGCGUUGUCCGGAAUUAUUGGGCGUAAAGAGCUCGUAGGCGGCCUGUUGCGUCCGCUGUGAAAUCCCGGGGCUCAACCCCGGGCCUGCAGUGGAUACGGGCUGGCUGGAGGCAGGCAGGGGAGAACGGAAUUCCUGGUGUAGCGGUGAAAUGCGCAGAUAUCAGGAGGAACACCGGUGGCGAAGGCGGUUCUCUGGGCCUGUUCUGACGCUGAGGAGCGAAAGCGUGGGGAGCGAACAGG
RNAcentral lists this ribosomal RNA (253 nucleotides) under uncultured bacterium. RNAcentral's name for it is "partial 16S ribosomal RNA". It matches the Rfam family "Bacterial small subunit ribosomal RNA", at positions 524 to 776 of the family's 1533-position model. The record is from RNAcentral.